This 1289-nucleotide ribosomal RNA is filed under the name Gamszarella antillana. RNAcentral describes it as "LSU rRNA". It matches the Rfam family "Eukaryotic large subunit ribosomal RNA", at positions 83 to 1403 of the family's 3401-position model. The record is from RNAcentral. Lineage: Eukaryota; Fungi; Ascomycota; Sordariomycetes; Hypocreales; Cordycipitaceae.
GUAACGGCGAGUGAAGCGGCAACAGCUCAAAUUUGAAAUCUGGUCCCCAGGGCCCGAAUUGUAAUUUGCAGAGGAUGCUUUUGGCGAGGUGCCUUCCGAGUUCCCUGGAACGGGACGCCAUAGAGGGUGAGAGCCCCGUCUGGUCGGAUACCAAGCCUCUGUAAAGCUCCUUCGACGAGUCGAGUAGUUUGGGAAUGCUGCUCAAAAUGGGAGGUAUAUGUCUUCUAAAGCUAAAUAUUGGCCAGAGACCGAUAGCGCACAAGUAGAGUGAUCGAAAGAUGAAAAGCACUUUGAAAAGAGGGUUAAAAAGUACGUGAAAUUGUUGAAAGGGAAGCGCCUAUGACCAGACUUGGGCCCGGUGAAUCAUCCAGCGUUCUCGCUGGUGCACUUUGCCGGGCACAGGCCAGCAUCAGUUUGGCGCGGGGGAUAAAGACUUUGGGAAUGUGGCUCCCUCGGGAGUGUUAUAGCCCAUUGUGCAAUACCCUGCGCCGGACUGAGGUACGCGCAUUGCAAGGAUGCUGGCGUAAUGGUCAUCAGCGACCCGUCUUGAAACACGGACCAAGGAGUCGUCUUCGUAUGCGAGUGUUCGGGUGUCAAACCCCUACGCGUAAUGAAAGUGAACGCAGGUGAGAGCUUCGGCGCAUCAUCGACCGAUCCUGAUGUUCUCGGAUGGAUUUGAGUAAGAGCAUACGGGGCCGGACCCGAAAGAAGGUGAACUAUGCCUGUAUAGGGUGAAGCCAGAGGAAACUCUGGUGGAGGCUCGCAGCGGUUCUGACGUGCGAAUCGAUCGUCAAAUAUGGGCAUGGGGGCGAAAGACUAAUCGAACCUUCUAGUAGCUGGUUUCCGCCGAAGUUUCCCUCAGGAUAGCAGUGUUGAACUCAGUUUUAUGAGGUAAAGCGAAUGAUUAGGGACUCGGGGGCGCUAUAUUGCCUUCAUCCAUUCUCAAACUUUAAAUAUGUAAGAAGCUCUUGUUACUUAAUUGAACGUGAGCAUUCGAAUGUAUCAACACUAGUGGGCCAUUUUUGGUAAGCAGAACUGGCGAUGCGGGAUGAACCGAACGCGAGGUUAAGGUGCCGGAGUGGACGCUCAUCAGACACCACAAAAGGUGUUAGUACAUCUUGACAGCAGGACGGUGGCCAUGGAAGUCGGAAUCCGCUAAGGACUGUGUAACAACUCACCUGCCGAAUGUACUAGCCCUGAAAAUGGAUGGCGCUCAAGCGUCCCACCCAUACCUCGCCCUCAGGGUAGAAACGAAGCCCUGAGGAGUAGGCGGACGUGGAGGUCAGUGA